CGACGUCGGUGAGCGCGAGGCGCACGAGAUGCUCGUGUGUCUCACAUUCGAAACGCGCACGUUGCGUUUUCACCAACAACUUUAUUUUCAAACUCUUUAACUCUCCAAAUAAUAAUUUGAGUGAUAGUGUGUGUAAAUUGUGUUAUAAAUGUGUUUCGUGCAAGUUGAAUAAAAGUGUGCGCGCGCACGCUUACGUUUUACGAGCGGCAAGCUGUGCUCGUACGUCGGUGGCGGCGGCGGCGGCAGUCGUCGUGCCCGCCUCAGGUCGGACGGGCGUCGCGCGUGAUCGCUGCUCGCCCGGCGCAGUCUUACACACACUCACCGAACGCCACCCCCACACGAGCUGCGACCAACAUGACAAUACACAUCGAAUUAUCUAGCAAUAAGUGCGCGCACCAGCGGAGCGCGUAGUGCGCGCCGAGUGGACGAGGGUUUCUCAAAUCGCGACGAUGGGGGAUCGCGAUCGUGACCGCCACGCGAAGACCAUCCGCGUCGGCUUCUACGACAUCGAGCGCACCAUUGGUAAAGGCAACUUUGCUAUCGUCAAGCUCGCUAGGCAUCGCAUCACGAAAACUGAGGUGGCGAUCAAAAUCAUCGACAAGUCACAGCUCGAUGCCGGUAAUUUACAAAAAGUGUAUCGUGAGGUGGACAUCAUGAAACGGCUGGAUCAUCCGCAUAUCAUUAAAUUAUACCAGGUGAUGGAAACGAAAAACAUGAUUUACCUCGUCUCGGAAUACGCUAGUCAAGGAGAAAUUUUCGAUUACAUCGCCAGAUAUGGUCGCAUGUCCGAAGAACAAGCGAGAGCAAAGUUUUGGCAAAUUUUAUCCGCCGUUGAAUAUUGCCAUAAUCGAAAUAUUGUGCAUCGAGAUUUAAAAGCCGAAAAUUUACUCCUAGACUCAAACAACAACAUCAAAAUAGCGGACUUUGGUUUUUCGAACUUUUUUAUGCCUGGUGGACAUUUAUCCACGUGGUGUGGAAGUCCACCGUAUGCUGCUCCUGAAGUUUUUGAAGGGAAGAAAUACACCGGGCCUGAAAUUGAUAUUUGGAGCCUCGGGGUAGUGCUGUACGUGCUUGUUUGCGGCGCGCUUCCUUUCGACGGAUGUUCCUUGCAAGCUUUACGCGAUCGAGUGCUCUCCGGAAGAUUUCGUAUUCCUUAUUUUAUGAGUUCAGAUUGCGAAUCGUUGAUAAGAAAAAUGUUAGUAUUAGAACCAAACAAACGGUAUUGCAUCAGUCAGAUCAAAAGGCAUCGCUGGAUGCAAAUGGAAGUGCCGCCCAGCCUGCCGCCCACCGCGCCAAUAUCCAGCACGCAACCCAACGAGCAAAUCCUGCGUCUAAUGCAAAGUUUAAGCAUAGACAGCGGCAAAACGAGAGAAUCAAUAAGACUGGGCAGUUACGACCACCACGCGGCUAUCUACUAUCUCCUCCUUGAUAAACUGCGAAACCAACUGGUUGGUGAACCGCAUCCACAAACCGGAAGUCGCGACGUUCAACGCCGGCGUCCUUCGAGCGUGGCGGAGCAAGCGAUGCGUAAGAUCAACCGAGCGAGCACUAGCGAAGAUUGCCGUCGUCUUCUACACUCGUCCACUACACCCACAGCAAGUAAUAGUAAGCUAUGCACUGCUACACCGAGAGUAUGUGAUUCUCCGCCCACGCACGGUAUCGACGCUGCCAAACUUCUCGCUGCGACUAACAGUGAAGACGCACUGAAGAUCCUCAACCAGGCGUCUGCGAAUGCUUUCAAUUUAGCUACAGAAGCAAGUAAACUGAUGAACACCCUGCAGCAAUCGGCUGUGGGACCAGUGAGCAAUGAUGCUAUUGUAAACAGCGGAACCGCAAACGGCAUACCAUUCAGAGAUCUUUUUAAUCACAUGCCUAGCACUUAUGGUUUCGUCCAAAACUCCAAUAUUGAUAACGAUGCGAAAGUUGGAGCUAGUUCUGGAUCUCUUACAAGAUUCUACAGUUGUGGAGGUGUGAGUGGGGUAGGAGGUGCCUACAGAAGCACCGAAAUGCAAACGCAGUAUUCCAGUUCAACUGAUGAAGGUGUAGAAACAGACUUAGAAGAUGUCCACACUACGCACACACAUACCCCAAGGUUAUCCUAUGCAUCUUCUAGUUCUUCUUCAGGUGUGGUCACUAAUUUUAACACCUCUAAGUCCCUGUCGCAGAAUUUAAGCUGUGAUAGUAACUUUGAGAGUCUGGAAUACCCGCUGAGUGAAUCUAGCGAGUUAACUAAUAGUUUACCAAGUUGUACAUCAUCGGAAACACGUGGAUUACUUCCGGAAACAACCACACUCACUAGUAACACAGCGACAUCUGUGAAAUAUUCCAACACACGUUCAGCUCUACAUAAACACAACCCGUUGGUGCAUGUGGGUAGCUACAAGGCAACUCGUGGUGUGACUCGUAGUCCUGUGGAUUUCCGUGAAGGAAGACGUGCGAGUGACGGCCUGGUAGCUCAACAGGUUGCUCAGCAGGAUUGUGCUCAUCCCACAGGUGUGGUGGCAUUCAACUCUCAGAAACUAGGAGAAAAUGCAAAAACUAAAGGUGUGCUUGACAUGCAUCUGGUACAGCGUGAAGCACAACGUCUUCAAUCACAAUAUCAAGCACGGGAACCACCCGAAGAGGUGACACAGCGACAGAAACAACACACGCAGUAUUUACAACCUCGUGGUACCAAACGUGUUAGUCUACCUGAUAAUUUCAGUUAUGCCGGAGCAGUUGAACCACCUUUACAACUUCAAACAGCUAUGCAACGACGGCUUUUACAGGAAAAACGACAAGUUUUACAGAAACAAUGCGCCAUGUCUCAACAUCAAUCACUAGGUGGUGUUACUGGUGGUAGUAUGGAUAGUCACUCGCUGGCGAGGAGACAAAUGCUCCGCCAGGCUAGCUAUAAGAUAGCACAACAACAACCAGUGUUGCCACCUUUACCCCUCAAUGAAGUAGAAAGCAAAGAAUUGUUGGCUUUCCAGGCAUUAGUUGAGGGUGCGACGAAUGCUAGCGGAGAAGCCUGGAAUGCACUGCCCGGAAGUCUGCAGACAUCUUGUCAGAUCUCCGACGCGCAGGCUGUCAAUCAAAACGCUAAUAUCACGCAGCAAUGGCAGACGACAGCGAGCUGGAAUCAGGUAUAGACUUGCGCUCUGGCUGUGUAGUUGAAUUUAUUUACUAAUUGUGUAACUGUAGUUAAUUAGUUGAUUAAUACCCGCGCGAUGCACAGCGAAACACAAACGUAGACGUAGUGUAGUCUCUAGUGAUAAAUUAGUUGAUAGAUGAACAAAGACUAAACAAGACUUUGAUUUUUGUUUACAUUUUGAAUGUUUUCGUCACACUCGUGUAAUGUACAAGUUAUUAUUUUCUUUUAAGUAUUGUUUAGUAGUCACAUCUGAAUCUUGUCUGUGUUAUUAUCGUAAUAUUUGAAUUUGAAGAAUAUCUAGCACAUAUUUCGUCAAAUAUUAAUCGAAUAACGUUUUUAUUGUAUUAUUAUGAAUUAAUGAUCGAUUUUUUCCACGAAAAAAUUGAUUGUUUUUAUUUUGUUGGUAAACUUUAAAGAAACAGAGUAUUUAUUGUAAUAAAAACAUGCAAAUCGUUCAUUUUUGAUUUUUUAUCUGCACGAUAACCAUUUUCAAGUUGAGGAUCUGUUCAGCAUGCUGUGUGUUGUCGGCCAUUAAAAUUCAAGGCAUGAUUGUGCUCUGUGUUGACAUUAACACGCUGUGAAUGGCCUGCAGCUGACCGGAAGCGCAUGGCCGCCAUUACUGCCAUUGAGCGAGUCGCCCAUUUUGGAGCUCACCGAACAAAUGGAGUCAAUGUAAAACCAACAACGUCACGUUUUUAUACUGCGCAUAGAUUCCUUCAUCAUCCAUACACGUAAGAGAACAAAAUGGCGGAGCGACGGAUAUAAUACACAAAAACAGUAACUGGUAAUUAUAAUACAUGCAAAAUACAGGAUUUGUACGAUUAUCAAAUACUGCCAAGCAAAUUAAUCAGUUCAAUUACACAGUAUAAAAUUACACUGAGCGUUGCGCGAAUCAGGCCUACAAUAAAUUAAUUAUAUACGAAAUAUUUGGCAAUCGUUGCUGUCCAAACAAAGAUGUGUAUGAAAACAAUAACAAAACAUGCUUUCCGGCGAAGCAAAUUCUAUAUGUAUGUACAGAAUUCAAUUGUUAAGCGUAGAGUAAUCGUUUGUAAUGUUUGGUAGGACUAGCAGCCGGAAAGUGAUAAAAUUAGUAAUGAAAGUUAAUCAGUAAUGUUGGUACAUUUGUAGCGAGACUCGUCAUUUGUACUAAGGACGUAGAUAUUUUACUUUUGUAUUUGUUUUCUAAGGAUUGUACAGGUUAAGCAUAUUUUCAAACAUUCCAGCUAAUUUUAUUUCAAGCAAUCAUAAUUCAACAAAAAUAUAACAUUAACAUAUCAUAAGUUGAGAAAAAAUCAUUUUUUAAAUGUAAGGAAGCGUUCUCUUUCUGUUUUGCAAGUUUUACGGCUCGUAAUUUACGAAAAUGUGCACAGCUGGUAAACAAGGCAAACUUAUUAGCAAGAGUAAUUAACGGGCACGGCCUAAACCGUAAUUGAAAGCGACAAGAGACUAAUUUGCACGCUUUUCAAGAGCUGCACUCUCGGGAGUUUCUUUUAAAACAACUACAAUAAAAGCACAACAUCAUUUGAUUCAAUUAAAUAUACAUGACGUCAGUACUUAGUAAAUUUACGCAUAAAAAUACAUGAUGAACUUAAUAAUUACAAGAAAACAUAAUAAAAGUGGUGCUAAACUUUACUACAUGUACUAAAUUAAAAGAAUUGAGUUUUUAUGAGCAACAACUGCAACAAGUUGUUCAAUAAAAGAAACGCGGACAGUUUUUGCACGCUUCAUCAUAAUAAGCAAAAAAUGGCGUCGUGUCAUAGAUGCAACAGGCUUUCAUAACAGUGGAGAAACUUUUUGAUGGUAUUUUGUGACUUGUGAUAGGUUUAUGACAUUUUUUAACAGCUUAUACACGUACAGUGUACAUAAAUUGUACUUAUGUAGAAAGUAGGAAGCAUUUAGCUUUAGAUUUAGCUGUUAACGCAGUGGGUGUCAUUACAGGUUAUGAUACGCCACUGUUGCACCACCUAGCGACGCGUAGCACUAUAUAAACGCAUAGCUUGCUUCAUUUUUACUUCAAUAUUUGCUCAAGAUAAACUUAGUUGCCGAAUAAUUGGUGUUCUCAACGAAUCAAGCUUGAAUUUAUACAUAACUACGAAUAACAUUUUAAAAAGGUGUUGAGAAUUAUUGGCUGCAAUCAAAAUUUAAAAAAUUGGUGGUAGAGACAUCUAGAACACAAUCAAAAGUAAAUAAAAUUAUGAUGCAAUGGAAUAAUCAUUAUACAGACUGUAAUAAUUGGAUAAUAAAAUAAAAUUAAAUUAAUACGGUGGAAUCAAGCAAAUUAACAUAUUACGUAAAUAAGAUUGUAUGGCUGCAUACUUAAUAUAGUAAAACAACAUGCAGGGAAAUCUUUCAAUUUAAUAUCGACGAAUUUGAUCAACUAAACAAGGAAAGAAUACUUUUUAUUCUGAUUUCUUUAAAAAAAGAUAAAAAGUAAUCUUUUCUUGCAGAUUCCUGUAGUAAAUGAUAAAUAAAACAGACAUAACCUAUCAUAAACUAAAAUUUAAAAGAAAAACACUUGCAUCCAAAUGAAAUUAUACGAAUAUGGAACAAUUAUGUGAAGCGUAGUAAAACAACGUGUAGAUUUUAGAAGCUAAAAGCUAGGCGCAAAAUUUAAACAUUGAUGGAAUGCUAAACUCAGUAAAUCAGUAAAAUCGUAACGAAUAACAUUGUAAAUUUUAUAGGAUUUAAGCAUAAACGACGUGGAUAUUGAAGAAUUUAAAAAAUAACGAAACAAUAUAACUUUGUAUAGAUUUAUAGACUUUAGGUGAAAGAAAAUUUCAUCAGAAACAUGAAAUUUUACACACAACUUUCGGAAAACCACUAAAAGUUAAUAACUACAAGUAAACCCUAACGAUAUGUACAUAAUGUGUAGAUUAUAUCAUAGAUAUCAUAGAUUAGCAUUCAUUUUACAUCAGAAGAAGAAAAAGAAAACGCAUUGCGAAUAAAUGCACAACAUAUCAUCGUUUAUGUACUUUAUGUUUACGUUAAACAUAAAUACAAUUAUUUUAUGUGAUUUUUUCACCUUGAUUAUGAAAAUUUGAAUAAAUGUGGUGCGAAACAAAACGAUUUGAAGACGUGUAAAAGCAAUAACAUGAAAUAUACACAAGCAUCUUUCUUGUAUAAGUUCUUUUCUAAAUGUUGUUGAAUGUUUUUCGCACGCGAAUCAAUAUUUUAAGUUGUACAAACGAAUCGUGCCAGAAAAUGAGGAAAAAAAACAAAACACAUGUAUUGGGAAUUGUUUGACAAAUCAUUGAUCAUCGAAUGUGAUGUCCAUACUUUACUUAUUCAUACUUUACUUAAGUGUGAACACAUAAAUAUGCGAAUAUGUGAAAAAUUAUUUAUUCUUAGUUUUGUUCAUUGCAAAUUAUAUUAAAUUGCAUUGGAACUUCUGAUUAACUAUUAAUCAUUAAUGAAUAAUCGUUGAGUAAACCUUAAAACACAUUGUACGCAUGUAUUACACUUGAUAACACAUGAUAAAAGCAUAUGUAUUGUACUCUUAUCGAUUUUGUUCGCAAGUGCGUAGUUCCUUUCGAUUAAAAUUGUGUUAUUGAAGCGUUCAAGUGUAAAAAAGUAAAUAUCUUAGAGUAUGUAUUUAUUUUUAUUUAUUUACUGACGUGUUUGUACAGAUUUGAUUUUGUUUCUCUGGAAUCAUUGAAAUAAAAUGUUGGAUAAUAA
Molecule: RNA transcript, 6808 nt
Organism: Dalotia coriaria
Lineage: Eukaryota; Metazoa; Arthropoda; Insecta; Coleoptera; Staphylinidae
Gene name: serine/threonine-protein kinase SIK2-like
Exons: 10
Source: RefSeq, a predicted model, not a curated record